AACGAACGCUGGCGGCAUGCCUAACACAUUCAAGUCGAACGAGACCUUCGGGUCUAGUUGCGCACGGGUGCGUAACGCGUGUGAACCUGCCCUUAGGUUCUGAAUAACUUCCCGACAUGGUUGCUAAUACCGGAUAAUGUCUUCUGACCAAAGAUUUAUCGCCUUUGGAUGUGCCCGCGUUGGAUUCGCUAGUUGGUAGGGUAAAAGCCUACCAAGGCGACGAUCCAUAGCUGGUCUGAGAGGAUGAUCAGCCACACUGGAACUAAGACACGGCCCAGACUCCUACGGGAGGCAGAAGUAGGGAAUAUUGGACAAAGGGCGAAAGCCAGAUCAAGAAAUGCCGCGUGAGUGAUGAAGGCCUUAGGGUUGUAAAGCUCUUUUACCCGGGAUGAUAAUGACAGUACCGGGAGAAUAAGCUCCGGCUAACUCCGUG
This 433-nucleotide ribosomal RNA is filed under the name uncultured bacterium. RNAcentral's name for it is "partial 16S ribosomal RNA". It matches the Rfam family "Bacterial small subunit ribosomal RNA", at positions 29 to 507 of the family's 1533-position model. The record is from RNAcentral.